UUCCUACGGGAGGCAGCAGUGAGGAAUAUUGGUCAAUGGUCGGGAGACUGAACCAGCCAAGCCGCGUGAGGGAUGAAGGUACAGAGUAUCGUAAACCUCUUUUGUCAGGGAACAAAGGCGGGGACGUGUCCCCGGAUGAGUGUACCUGAAGAAAAAGCAUCGGCUAACUCCGUGCCAGCAGCCGCGGUAAUACGUAGGGUGCAAGCGUUAUCCGGAUUUAUUGGGCGUAAAGGGCUCGUAGGCGGUUCGUCGCGGCCGGUGUGGAAGUCCCUGGCUUAACGGUGGAUCC
This 289-nucleotide ribosomal RNA is filed under the name uncultured bacterium. Its description in RNAcentral is "partial 16S ribosomal RNA". It matches the Rfam family "Bacterial small subunit ribosomal RNA", at positions 336 to 622 of the family's 1533-position model. The record is from RNAcentral.